AUUGAACGCUGGCGGCAGGCCUAACACAUGCAAGUCGAGCGGAUGAAGGGAGCUUGCUCCUGGAUUCAGCGUCGGACGGGUGAGUAAUGCCUAGGAAUCUGCCUGGUAGUGGGGGAUAACGUCCGGAAACGGGCGCUAAUACCGCAUACGUCCUGAGGGAGAAAGUGGGGGAUCUUCGGACCUCACGCUAUCAGAUGAGCCUAGGUCGGAUUAGCUAGUUGGUGGGGUAAAGGCCUACCAAGGCGACGAUCCGUAACUGGUCUGAGAGGAUGAUCAGUCACACGGGAACUGAGACACGGUCCAGACUCCUACGGGAGGCAGCAGUGGGGAAUAUUGGACAAUGGGCGAAAGCCUGAUCCAGCCAUGCCGCGUGUGUGAAGAAGGUCUUCGGAUUGUAAAGCACUUUAAGUUGGGAGGAAGGGCAGUAAGUUAAUACCUUGCUGUUUUGACGUUACCAACAGAAGAAGCACCGGCUAACUUCGUG
Molecule: ribosomal RNA, 484 nt
Filed under: uncultured bacterium
Lineage: Bacteria
Description: partial 16S ribosomal RNA
Rfam family: Bacterial small subunit ribosomal RNA
Source: RNAcentral